GGGUCAAAAGGAUGAAUUAUAUGGUAACUAUAUCCAAAUAGGUUCUUGAGUGUUAUUUUGCAUACAUUCGGCCUAUCCGGACGUCAGGUACCAUUGCUAGAUGGUUACUCUGAUUGGUACAGAAAUCAAUUUCUAUGCUACUGGCUUAGGUUCGAACCUAUGGGGUCACAUACAUUAGAAGUUUCUCUCCGAUCAUAUGGCUAAUCUGAAGAGUUUCAGUGAAUGAAAACCCUGGUGAAGAGUCCCACUGGACAAAAACUCUAGAGAAGAGUCCCNNN
RNAcentral lists this long non-coding RNA (278 nucleotides) under Elaeis guineensis (African oil palm). RNAcentral's name for it is "long non-coding RNA (EGUI_LNC059009)". Lineage: Eukaryota; Viridiplantae; Streptophyta; Magnoliopsida; Arecales; Arecaceae. The record is from RNAcentral.